AAUCUUGGUUACAGAUGAGCAUGCGGUCCAUUAGCCAGUUGGCGGGGUAACGGCCCACCAAAGCGACGAUGGAUAGGGGUUCUGAGAGGAAGGUCCCCCACAUUGGAACUGAGACACGGUCCAAACUCCUACGGGAGGCAGCAGUGAGGAAUAUUGGUCAAUGGUCGGCAGACUGAACCAGCCAAGUCGCGUGAAGGAAGACGGCCCUAAGGGUUGUAAACUUCUUUUGUCGGAGAGUAAAGGUCUUCACGAGUGGAGAUUUGCAAGUAUCCGAAGAAAAAGCAUCGGCUAACUCCGUGCCAGCAGCCGCGGUAAUACGGAGGAUGCGAGCGUUAUCCGGAUUUAUUGGGUUUAAAGGGUGCGUAGGCGGCAUGACAAGUCAGCGGUGAAAUGCCCGGGCUUAACCCGGGAGCUGCCGUUGAAACUGUCGAGCUAGCGUGCACAAGAGGUAGGCGGAAUGCGUGGUGUAGCGGUGAAAUGCAUAGAUAUCACGCAGAACCCCGAUUGCGAAGGCAGCCUACUAGGGUGCAACGGACGCUGAAGCACGAAAGCGUGGGUAUCGAACAGGAUUAGAUACCCUGGUAGUCCACGCAGUAAACGAUGAAUACUAACUGUUUGCGAUAUAAUGUAAGUGGUACAGCGAAAGCGUUAAGUAUUCCACCUGGGGAGUACGCCGGCAACGGUGAAACUCAAAGGAAUUGACGGGGGCCCGCACAAGCGGAGGAACAUGUGGUUUAAUUCGAUGAUACGCGAGGAACCUUACCCGGGCUCAAACGCAGGGGGAAUAUGGGUGAAAGCCCAUAGCCGGCAACGGCCGCCUGCGAGGUGCUGCAUGGUUGUCGUCAGCUCGUGCCGUGAGGUGUCGGCUUAAGUGCCAUAACGAGCGCAACCCCUAUUGACAGUUACUAACGGGU
RNAcentral lists this ribosomal RNA (914 nucleotides) under Barnesiella sp. An22. RNAcentral describes it as "bacterial SSU rRNA". It matches the Rfam family "Bacterial small subunit ribosomal RNA", at positions 211 to 1126 of the family's 1533-position model. The record is from RNAcentral. Lineage: Bacteria; Pseudomonadati; Bacteroidota; Bacteroidia; Bacteroidales; Barnesiellaceae.